Molecule: long non-coding RNA, 542 nt
Filed under: Mytilus galloprovincialis (Mediterranean mussel)
Lineage: Eukaryota; Metazoa; Mollusca; Bivalvia; Mytilida; Mytilidae
Source: RNAcentral
GGGGUCAGUACUUUAUCUUUUGCUAUUAUAUCUAUGUUAUUAAAUACUGGAAUAGGAUAGGAAGUAAAAUUGAGAAUGAAAAUGAGGAAUGUGUCAAUGAGACAACAACCCGACCAUAGAGAAGACAACAGCAUAAGGUCACCAACAGGUCUUCAAUGCAGCGAGCAAUUCCCGCACCCGGAGGCGUCACUUCAGCUGGCCCCUAAACAAAUAUGUAUACUAGUUCAGUGAUAAUGAACGCCAUACUAAACUCCAAAAUGUACACAAGAAACUAAAACUAAAAAUAAUGCAAGACUAACAAAGGCGCCAAGCCUCCUGACUUGGGACAGGCGCAAAAAUGCGGCGGGGUUAAAGAGCUAUAUUGAUUUUGUAAAAAUUUCUCAAUAAGGCCAUACACAAUUACCGGUUUCUUACUAGGUACACUUGUUUUGUUAAACAAAAGAUGUUGGCGAAAUGUAAUAUUUUUUGUUUGCUUUUUAAAGAAUGUUAAAGUAUCUAUGUAUUAAUUAAGUCUUUUAAAUAUGCACAUUAUUUUGUUUACA